AGGAUAUCGCAUCCUAUGCCUACGUAUCUCAUCUGGAAUGAGAAUCAGAGCUGCUGUAGUUCGGCUAAUGCACGCCGAAACACAACACAACACAAAGACGCUGAGACGUCAAGAGAAACACACAAAUGGAAACAGACUGCCAAUGACUGGUCUUACGUCCGACUCCGAACACACAAACACAAACAGGAAACCGAAUGCCAAUCGCUGGGCUUACAUUAGACUCCAAACAAACAAGAAAUCGCUAACCAGCGAACACCAAAGGUAGAAAGCAAAUUGACAAACUAAAAGGGAGUCUGGAACUCGAGCCUAGAAGUUG
Molecule: long non-coding RNA, 316 nt
Filed under: Lathyrus oleraceus (garden pea)
Lineage: Eukaryota; Viridiplantae; Streptophyta; Magnoliopsida; Fabales; Fabaceae
Description: Pisum sativum (pea) long non-coding RNA (PSAT_LNC005726)
Source: RNAcentral